Molecule: ribosomal RNA, 402 nt
Filed under: uncultured bacterium
Lineage: Bacteria
Description: bacterial SSU rRNA
Rfam family: Bacterial small subunit ribosomal RNA
Source: RNAcentral
GGGGAAUCUUGCGCAAUGGGCGAAAGCCUGACGCAGCAACGCCGCGUGCGGGAUGAAGGCCUUCGGGUUGUAAACCGCUUUCAGUGGGGACGAAUCAAGACGGUACCCACAGAAGAAGCCCCGGCCAACUACGUGCCAGCAGCCGCGGUAACACGUAGGGGGCAAGCGUUGUCCGGAUUUAUUGGGCGUAAAGAGCUCGUAGGUGGUUCAGUAAGUCGGGUGUGAAACCUCCAGGCUCAACCUGGAGACGCCACCCGAUACUGCUGUGACUAGAGUCCAGUAGGGGAGCAUGGAAUUCCUGGUGUAGCGGUGAAAUGCGCAGAUAUCAGGAGGAACACCAGUGGCGAAGGCGGUGCUCUGGGCUGGAACUGACACUGAGGAGCGAAAGCGUGGGGAGCGAAC